RNAcentral lists this ribosomal RNA (262 nucleotides) under uncultured bacterium. RNAcentral's name for it is "partial 16S ribosomal RNA". It matches the Rfam family "Bacterial small subunit ribosomal RNA", at positions 92 to 353 of the family's 1533-position model. The record is from RNAcentral.
CGACCGGCGCACGGGUGAGUAACACGUAUCCAACCUGCCGAUAACUCGGGGAUAGCCUUUCGAAAGAAAGAUUAAUACCCGAUGGCAUAAUAGAACCGCAUGGUUUGAUUAUUAAAGAAUUUCGGUUAUCGAUGGGGAUGCGUUCCAUUAGGCAGUUGGUGGGGUAACGGCCCACCAAACCUUCGAUGGAUAGGGGUUCUGAGAGGAAGGUCCCCCACAUUGGAACUGAGACACGGUCCAAACUCCUACGGGAGGCAGCAUG